Molecule: ribosomal RNA, 253 nt
Filed under: uncultured bacterium
Lineage: Bacteria
Description: partial 16S ribosomal RNA
Rfam family: Bacterial small subunit ribosomal RNA
Source: RNAcentral
UACGGAGGGUGCAAGCGUUAUCCGGAUUUACUGGGUUUAAAGGGUGCGUAGGUGGUCUUGUAAGUCAGCGGUGAAAGCUCGGAGCUCAACUCCGAAAUUGCCAUUGAUACUGCAAGGCUUGAGUACAGUUGAGGUAGGCGGAAUAUGUCAUGUAGCGGUGAAAUGCUUAGAUAUGACAUAGAACACCAAUUGCGAAGGCAGCUUGCUAAACUGAAACUGACACUGAGGCACGAAAGCGUGGGGAUCAAACAGG